AUCACUUCUCAGCCUUUUGGCUAAGAUCAAGUAUAGUAUCUGUUCUUACCAGAAAACAAGGGAAAUAAAAUGUUAUGCUCAGAAGCCAGUCCCCUAACUGGCUUUUAACUUAGUUCAAGCAACCCCAGACUUCUAAAUAAUUCUACCAAUCUCGCCCCUACCCAUUGUGUGUGGGUUGCCUUUA
Cebus imitator (Panamanian white-faced capuchin) is the source of this 184-nucleotide small nuclear RNA. Its record names the gene U2. It matches the Rfam family "U2 spliceosomal RNA". From Rfam's summary of the family: U2 is a small nuclear RNA (snRNA) component of the spliceosome (involved in pre-mRNA splicing). Complementary binding between U2 snRNA (in an area lying towards the 5' end but 3' to hairpin I) and the branchpoint sequence (BPS) of the intron results the bulging out of an unpaired adenosine, on the BPS, which initiates a nucleophilic attack at the intronic 5' splice site, thus starting the first of two transesterification reactions that mediate splicing. Lineage: Eukaryota; Metazoa; Chordata; Mammalia; Primates; Cebidae. The record is from Ensembl.